Long non-coding RNA from Anopheles funestus (African malaria mosquito), 2664 nucleotides. RefSeq lists it as uncharacterized. NCBI's taxonomy places the organism in Eukaryota, Metazoa, Arthropoda, Insecta, Diptera, Culicidae. The transcript is spliced from 4 exons. The record is from RefSeq and is a predicted model, not a curated record.
UUUAUUCUUUUUUUAAUUUAAAUUUAAUUUAAUUUAAUUUUUAUUUAAAUUUAAUUUUUUUAAUUUAAUUUUAAAAUUUAUAAAUUUUGGUACAUUGGUGCAAAAUGAGGAAAAUUUUACAUUUUCUCAAACAGGGUAAGGAACUUGGUUCCUCGAAUAACUUCUGACACAGACAUCUGAGGGCUUGGCCGUCCAAGAAGAAAAUGUAGCCAUUGGUGCCAUCUAUCGACCACAAGUUAAAGAUUGGCGAUCCGUUGGAUACCGACCGACUUAUAGGCAAAACUUGGUGCAAAAAUGAGGAAAAUUUUACAUUUUCUCAAACAGGGUAAGGAACUUGGUUCCUCGAAUAACUUCUGACACAGACAUCUGAGGGCUUGGCCGUCCAAGAAGAAAAUGUAGCCAUUGGUGCCAUCUAUCGACCACAAGUUAAAGAUUGGCGAUCCGUUGGAUACCGUCCGACUUAUAGGCAAAACUUGGUGCAAAAAUGAGGAAAAUUUUACAUUUUCUCAAACAGGGUAAGGAACUUGGUUCCUCGAAUAACUUCUGACACAGACAUCUGAGGGCUUGGCCGUCCAUGAAGAAAAUGUAGCCAUUGAUGCCAUCUACCGACCACAGAUUAAAGAUUGGCGAUCCGUUGGAUACAAACCGAGUUAUAAGCAGAACUUGGUGUAAAAAUGAGCCUUAUGAAAUUUGCAAUUUUAUAGAUUUUUCACAUUUUUAUAUUUUUUUUUUACUCUUUUUUUUGGUUGAAGCAUUAUUUGAGUGAAAAGAAACUCAUUGCAACCAAUUGGCAUUAAAAUAAAUCAAUUUAAAUUUUUUUGAAAAAUUUCUCAAAAAAAUGGCAAGGGGUACCCCUUAUGAAAUUUUCGAGUUGAAAAUUUUUUGAAAUUUUUUUUCUCAUUUUUUAUUCUUUUUUUAAUUUAAAGCACUAUUUAAGUGAAAAGAAAAUAAUUGUAACAAAUUCCCAUCAAAAUAUAUCACAUUUAUAAAUUUUGCUACAUUGGUGAAAAAUGAGGAAAAUUUUACAUUUUCUCAUACAGGGUAAGGAACUUGGUUCCUCGAAUAACUUCUGACACAGACAUCUGAGGGCUUGGCCGUCCAAGAAGAAAAUGUAGCCAUUGGUGCCAUCUAUCGACCACAAGUUAAAGAUUGACGAUUCGUUAGAUACCGACCAAGCUACAGGCAAAACAUGGUGCAAAAAUGAGCCUUAUGAAAUUUUCAAUUUUAUAGAUUUUUCACAUAUUUUUAUUAUGUUUUACUCUUUUUUUUGUUUGAAGCAUUAUUUGAGUGAAAAGAAACUCAUUGCAACCAAUUGGCAAUAAAAUAAAUCAAUUUAAAUUUUUUUGAAAAAUUUCUCAAAAAAAUGGCAAGGGGUACCCCUUAUGAAAUUUUCGAGUUGAAAAUUGUUUGAAAUUUUUUUUCUCAUUUUUUAUUCCUUUUUUAAUUUAAAUUUAAUUUAAUUUAAUUUUUAUUUAAAUUUAAUUUUUUUAAUUUAAUUUUAAAAUUUAUAAAUUUUGGUACAUUGGUGAAAAAUGAGGAAAAUUUUACAUUUUCUCAAACAGGGUAAGGAACUUGGUUCCUCGAAUAACUUCUGACACAGACAUCUGAGGGCUUGGCCGUCCAAGAAGAAAAUGUAGCCAUUGGUGCCAUCUAUCGACCACAAGUUAAAGAUUGACGAUUCGUUAGAUACCGACCAAGCUACAGGCAAAAGUUGGUGCAAAAAUGAGCCUUAUGAAAUUUUCAAUUUUAUAUAUUUUUCACAUAUUUUUAUUAUUUUUUACUCUUUUUUUUGUUUGAAGCAUUAUUUGAGUGAAAAGAAACUCAUUGCAACCAAUUGGCAUUAAAAUAAAUCAAUUUAAAUUUUUUUGAAAAAUUGCUCAAAAAAAUGGGUACCCCUUAUGAAAUUUUCGAGUUGAAAAUUGUUUGAAAUUUUUUUUCUCAUUUUUUAUUCUUUUUUUAAUUUAAAGCACUAUUUAAGUGAAAAGAAAAUAAUUGCAACAAAUUCCCAUCAAAAUAUAUCACAUUUAUAAAUUUUGCUACAUUGGUGAAAAAUGAGGAAAAUUUUACAUUUUCUCAAACAAGGUAAGGAACUUGGUUCCUAGAAUAACUUCUGACACAGACAUCUGAGGGCUUGGCCGUCCAAGAAGAAAAUGUAGCCAUUGGUGCCAUCUAUCGACCACAAGUUAAAGAUUGGCGAUCCGUUGGAUACCGUCCGACUUAUAGGCAAAACUUGGUGCAAAAAUGAGGAAAAUUUUACAUUUUCUCAAACAGGGUAAGGAACUUGGUUCCUCGAAUAACUUCUGACACAGACAUCUGAGGGCUUGGCCGUCCAUGAAGAAAAUGUAGCCAUUGAUGCCAUCUACCGACCACAGAUUAAAGAUUGGCGAUCCGUUGGAUACAAACCGAGUUAUAAGCAGAACUUGGUGUAAAAAUGAGCCUUAUGAAAUUUGCAAUUUUAUAGAUUUUUCACAUUUUUAUAUUUUUUUUUACUCUUUUUUUUGGUUGAAGCAUUAUUUGAGUGAAAAGAAACUCAUUGCAACCAAUUGGCAUUAAAAUAAAUCAAUUUAAAUUUUUUUGAAAAAUUUCUCAAAAAAAUGGCAAGGGGUACCCCUUAUGAAAUUUUCGAGUUGAAAAUUUUUUGAAAUUUUUUUUUUCUCAUUUUUU